This 497-nucleotide ribosomal RNA is filed under the name uncultured bacterium. RNAcentral's name for it is "partial 16S ribosomal RNA". It matches the Rfam family "Bacterial small subunit ribosomal RNA", at positions 28 to 507 of the family's 1533-position model. The record is from RNAcentral.
GAUGAACGCUGGCGGCGUGCCUAAUACAUGCAAGUCGAGCGAACAGAUGAGGAGCUUGCUCCUCUGACGUUAGCGGCGGACGGGUGAGUAACACGUGGAUAACCUACCUAUAAGACUGGGAUAACUUCGGGAAACCGGAGCUAAUACCGGAUAAUAUAUUGAACCGCAUGGUUCAAUAGUGAAAGACGGUUUUGCUGUCACUUAUAGAUGGAUCCGCGCCGCAUUAGCUAGUUGGUAAGGUAACGGCUUACCAAGGCAACGAUGCGUAGCCGACCUGAGAGGGUGAUCCGCCACACUGGAACUGAGACACGGUCCAGACUCCUACGGGAGGCAGCAGUAGGGAAUCUUCCGCAAUGGGCGAAAGCCUGACGGAGCAACGCCGCGUGAGUGAUGAAGGUCUUCGGAUCGUAAAACUCUGUUAUUAGGGAAGAACAAAUGUGUAAGUAACUAGGCACGUCUUGACGGUACCUAAUCAGAAAGCCACGGCUAACUACGUG